Molecule: small RNA, 178 nt
Filed under: Streptomyces sp.
Lineage: Bacteria; Bacillati; Actinomycetota; Actinomycetes; Kitasatosporales; Streptomycetaceae
Description: c-di-AMP sequence
Rfam family: c-di-AMP riboswitch aptamer (ydaO/yuaA leader)
About the family: This family represents a conserved RNA structure found upstream of the ydaO and yuaA genes in Bacillus subtilis and related genes in other bacteria. The ydaO/yuaA element is thought to act as a genetic "off" switch for the ydaO and yuaA genes in its native state.
Source: RNAcentral
CACGGGCAAUCACGCAAUCCCGGCGGCAGGAGUGGGGGAACCAGGUAAGUGCCGUACGUGGCUGGUCGCACGUACGGCUAGGGGUGAAGCCGUACGCGAACGCCCCCUCGUGUUCGCGUGGGCCGGGCAACUCCAGCCCGAAUCCGACAGCUCACCUCGCAGGCGUAGGAGAGGAACU